This 253-nucleotide long non-coding RNA is filed under the name Mytilus galloprovincialis (Mediterranean mussel). The record is from RNAcentral. Lineage: Eukaryota; Metazoa; Mollusca; Bivalvia; Mytilida; Mytilidae.
AUACAAUAACUGUUUUUCACACAUAAACUGGACCAUGUUAUUAAAGUAACAAAAUGAUAAAAAAAAAAAUGAUUUCAUUUCCUUGCAACAUAAAAUGUCACAUAAAAUACAAACUAAAAACUAAAUGGUCAAUGAUUCAUUUCAGGCUUUUUCCUCUCUGAAGUACAGUUCAAACAGACCUAUUUAAAACAUUUAAUAGCAAAAACAAUUUAAUAUUGGUGUGUAUUAUCCUUGAAAAGAACAAAAACAUUCA